CUGCGCACGGCCACAAUGGGGACACUUUCUGAGAAGUGCGUCAUUAGGUGAUUUCGUUGUUGGGUGGCCAUUGCAGAGUGUACUUCCACAAGCCUAGAAGUAUAGCCUAUGACACAUCAAGGCUAUAAGAUACCGCCUAUUUCUCUUAGGCUACAAACCUGUGCAGCAUGAUACUGUGCUGAACACUGGGCAAUUGUAACAAAAUGGUAAGUGUUUGUGUAUCUAAACAUAUUUACACAUAGAAAAGGUACAGUAAAAAUAUGGUAUUAUAAUCUUAUGGGACCAAGGUGAUAUAUGUGGUCUGUUGUUGACCAAAACAUUAUGUAGUGCAUGACUGUAAUUGUAUUUCUUAAAAGACUAUCUGAAACUAAUUAGUCAAUAUAUUGAGGUAGCAUUUAUGUAAUCUUGAUGGUGAGUACAUAGGUGUCUGUUAACUUAUUGUCUGUAUGUUUGAAAUAUUUUAUAAGUAAAAAUACAAUUUAGAAAAAGGUGGCAUUCAGGCAGUGAUUGCCCUAAAUGAAACCUAAAACGAUCCACAGAGCUUUAAAUGCUAUUAGAGGAAUAGGUUCAUUGAUUCCAUAAAUAUUUAUUGAUUGCCUUCCCUACAGUAAGUGUUGUGCUAGGUGCACAUGAAACAUUAAUUGAACCUUGCCCUUGGAUUCACUUGCGGGCCAUAUUACAGCUGGCAGUGAUUAUGAAGGUCCUUGGAAGUCCAGGUUAGUGUUACCUUAUGCUGAAUUCUGCUCUAUAUUAGGCCAUCUUGUAGGACCUUUUCAAGUGUACUUUAUCUUGAUAUAAGCCUGGAAAAGCACAUUAUAAUAGCUAAUAAGACCUAACGUAACUUAUAGAAUUCUAGGCAUAGCCCUAAGCCUUUGCAUGCAUUAUGUCUUUUUAUCCUCACCACAACCUUAUGAGGUAGGUACUAUCAUUACCCUCAUUUUAUAGAUAAAGAAACUGAGGCACAGGAGGUUAAUUAAUUUGAGUUACGUCACCUAGCUAACUAGUAGAGCCAAAAUGUUCACUUUGUCAACUUAACUCCAAUGCACAUCACUCUUAAGGUCUCUUUUGGUCUGUCUGUCCUUGUGUAGUUACAGUUGAACUUUAAGUUCUCUGGGCAAUGCUUCAGGACACCUGUUUUAUGUGUUAUGGAAGAGCAGGAUGCUGGGUCUGGAAAGGACCCUUAAAGUUCAUCUGGUCCAGUGGAAUGGUAAGGUGUGAGCUUCAUGAGAGCAGGAGGUAUCUUCAUUCCAUCAUUGAUGAGUCCCCCUGCCAGUUACAUAGUAGUAGCUCAGUAAGUAUUUAUUGAAAAAAUGAGUGUUGAAUAAUUUUGUUUUUUAAAGCAUUUAUUCAAACCUCCAAUAUUAAACAGAUCAUAUCAGAGAUGCUCUGGUUAAAGUUUUUAAGUGGAGGUGGGGCCCAGAGUUCCACAGUCUAGAGCCUGCUCUAGAACUACCCACAGCUUGAAGGCUACUCAUCUAAUCCAGAUCCCUGCAGUACAGAUGAAGAUGCCUGAUGUCCAAGGAGGUUUAGUGUCCUAUCAAAGACCACUCUGCUAAGGAGGAACAGAGCUGACUUUUCUGAUGCCGAGUCCCAAAGUUCUUUCCCCCACCACAACAUAAGGGGGUAGCCUGGCCCCCAGACUCCUUACAACUGAGAAUAUACUUAUAGGAAAACGACAGCUGCUUGGCACAUAGAUGGUUAUGUAAUUCAAGUUACUCAAAGACAACCUUAAUUUACAUGUGAUAGCUAAACAAAGAUUUUCUGUCUCAUAAAUUAAGAAUGAGCAAUUGCAUUGUCUACUACCACAUCCCAUGAAAUACCUCUAAACUCAGAGAACUCUUUGUUGGUUUUAAAAGAUACCAAGAUCCAUUUUAUUGCUUGUUUGAAGAUUAUUCAUUUUAUGGCUGAAGGGAGAUUAUGGCACUUUUGCUAUCCUCCAGCCUUUCCCCCAUCCUCCAAGAACCUUUCACCCCACCUGCCUUGCCAUGAUGAAAAUGUUACAGGAAACACUCAGCAAGGGGUUGCUCGGAAGAAACCUGUGUGAGAAUGUGUGCCUUCGUUUGGGUAUGAGAGGGUAUCUACCAGCAGGGAUGCCCAUCCAAUUAUCUCUCCCGAAGGCGCACUCCCUAUUCUUUUAGGAGCAUAUUAAUCAUUUUUACUCUUCCACAGGCAUUUCCAGUGUUGUCAAAACAGUGCCUGCCUGCAUCUGUUUUCUUCAAUUGGCCUGGGUUCCAGGGAGUGUUUGUGAGAGAGGAGAGAACAAGAGAUUGACAGUCUUGUGUUGACAUUUUGUGGCUGUUUGGAAAUGAAAACAAUCCAGGUCUGAUGUUGUAAUUCCUCCUUUUAUGGGCAAAAAGCAAUGUCUCAGCAUGAAUGAGCAUAACCGAACACACUAGGACACACCCCAGACACACUGUGUACUCCCGGGACACUCACCAUGCUUUUAGUUACUGCUGUUGUAGAAUGAAAGGCAGAAAAGGUCUUUUAUUGAGCCAAAGAAUCAAGAAAUCUUUUGAUUCUCCAUACCCAAAUCUCCUACUCCAGUGGGAUGAAUAAAAUGUCAAAGAGAAAAAAAAAUCCUGAUUUUUUAAUUUACUAUAUAUAUAUGUCUUUUUUUCUUCUUUUCAAACUAUA
This 2634-nucleotide long non-coding RNA is filed under the name Homo sapiens (human). RNAcentral describes it as "HSALNT0088077". Lineage: Eukaryota; Metazoa; Chordata; Mammalia; Primates; Hominidae. The record is from RNAcentral.